RNAcentral lists this transfer RNA (62 nucleotides) under Seasogonia rosea. RNAcentral describes it as "tRNA-Tyr". The record is from RNAcentral. Lineage: Eukaryota; Metazoa; Arthropoda; Insecta; Hemiptera; Cicadellidae.
AUUAAGGUGUCUGAUUUAAGUAAUAAACUGUAAAUUUAUUUAAGAAAAAUUUUCCCUUAGUA